GCGCGAUUCUUGCUGUACCGAGGGAAGGGCGCUAAUUACUGGUGUUUGAACGCGCGGCGUGGGCGCGCACCUUAGAAAGCCAAUUAAAAACAGCUAAUGGCGCGGCCUUUGUUGUUGGACCCACUGCAGCUCAGCGUAAUUAACUUCUGAGCGGGGAAAGCAGAUGGAGGAGGAGUGCGGUCGCCUCGCAGCGCUCACACCGCGGGAAAAAGACACUUGUAACGUGAGGCGAGUGUGCGCGCGAGGCCCCAGACCCGUCCGCCCCCCCCCCUUUCAGCUACGUUGCGCGUGUGCGAGGCCCGCGUUACCGCCCAGUGUCACGCGCAGCGCCGACGACGUUGGACCGAAGGAAUAACGAAGGCAAACGAGCGAGAACUCAGUUUAGUGUCUCAUUCCCCGACGAAGUGUUUCUGUUUUUAAAAAAAUUACUAAGAGAGAGGACCUACGAAAGAGAUGCCGCGAAACCGUUCGCUCGGCUGUGGUCCCAACGCGGUGAUGCGCGGUCCUGGGUUUGGCCGAUGGCGAAACAUAACUUGCGGAGCACAAGAUGCAGGAAGUGAUGUGUUUCCUGUGGAGGGCGGAGCUGGAUGUGACACCGGGACCUUUGCAGAUGCCCGGCUGAAUGGAUUGCUCUUGGGUUGGAAGCUGCUGGAGGUUUCCAGAAGGGGAAAGUGA
This 675-nucleotide long non-coding RNA is filed under the name Scleropages formosus (Asian bonytongue). Its description in RNAcentral is "lncRNA (ENSSFOG00015026555.1)". Lineage: Eukaryota; Metazoa; Chordata; Actinopteri; Osteoglossiformes; Osteoglossidae. The record is from RNAcentral.